GAACCCAGUGGGUGAUCUGGCUGCGACAUCUGUCACCCCAUUGAUCGCCGGGGUUGAUUCGGCUGAUCUGGCUGGCCAGGCGGGUGUCCCCUUCCUCCCUCACUGCUCCAUGCGGGUCCCUCCUGAAGCUGCACGCUCGGUCGGUCUAAGAGGACCACCUUCCCCGAGAGAGGAGGACCGUUCUUCCAUCGAGGGUAUAGGAGUGGCUGCGCGCCCCUGCUGGAACCUCCAAACAAGCUCUCAGGACUUGAAUUCCAGAAUCCCACCUCCCUCCCGCUUCAGCUGAACUUACCUGGCAGUGUCUUC
This 306-nucleotide small RNA is filed under the name Propithecus coquereli (Coquerel's sifaka). RNAcentral's name for it is "7SK RNA (ENSPCOG00000010848.1)". It matches the Rfam family "7SK RNA", at positions 1 to 251 of the family's 331-position model. From Rfam's summary of the family: 7SK was discovered as an abundant small nuclear RNA in the mid-70s but a possible function has only recently been suggested. Two independent studies have found that 7SK RNA binds the CDK9/cyclin T complex (known as elongation factor P-TEFb). Lineage: Eukaryota; Metazoa; Chordata; Mammalia; Primates; Indriidae. The record is from Rfam by way of RNAcentral.